Molecule: long non-coding RNA, 2886 nt
Organism: Chenopodium quinoa (quinoa)
Lineage: Eukaryota; Viridiplantae; Streptophyta; Magnoliopsida; Caryophyllales; Amaranthaceae
Exons: 2
Source: RefSeq, a predicted model, not a curated record
UUGACAUUAUUAGAGUGGUAGUACUACUUAAACUUUUUACAACUUUGUUGUAGUUUACAACUUUGUUUUCAAAACACGCGCUUUAAUUGGUAUUUCUUAACCAUUUCCUUUCACAUAUUUACAACACUUUUUAAUUUAACAUGAAAUCAUUUAUGAUGAUUUUAUUUGCCUUAUUUCUCUCACAUAAAAUUACAUCCAAGCGUUAUAUGUAUUAUACUUUAGUCAGCAUAUAAUUUUCUCAGAUGGAGACCACGGAGUUGCAACGCUAAAAAAGAAAGAAAGAAAGAAAGAAACAAAAAAAAAAAAAAUAAAAAAAAUUCCCUUUUGAGUUAUGAAGAUUACGAUUUUACAUUCUUUCUAUAUUGCUGGAAGCGUGAGUUGUGAAUCCAAUGCAUGUCAGUCUUGCUCAUUAACUUCCCGCUCUCAUUAAUUUCUCGCUCAUUAACUUCCCGCUCUCAUUAACUUCCCUCUUCAUCUUCCCCAUAAAGAAUUUAAAAUACAUAACUUCUCUCUCGCUAUACUCCCUCUCUCUUUGUCACUCAACUUUGCUUUCUUCUUGCUUCUCUUCUAGUCUCCGGUCGUUUAUGAUUGUUCGUUGUUUGGUGGUUCUUGUUCUGGCAUUGGCAUCGUUCUCCUACUAAUACAGCUCACGAUGAAGGAAAUUACACAGGAUCUUUAGGAAAAAGGAGUGGAUAAAAGCCAGAAAGCGGUUGCUGCUGAUAAAAGCCAGAAAUUGGUUGCUGCUGGUAAAAGAAAAAUGCACAUACCUGAGAAAAGCAGUAAAAAGAGCAAAGGACAAGGGGUUGAACCUUCCUAUCAAGUGACCUACAUUAACGAGUUGCUUGCACAUGGCAUGGGGGGGGGGGGGGACAGAAUUAUUAGAAGAUUCAGAUGAGGGUAGUACUGAAGAUGAAUCAGAGCAGGAAAGUGACAAUGGAGGUGGUGAUGAGCAGGAUGAGGAUGAAGAGUUGCAGCAUUUGGACAGGAAAAUUAAUAAGGGCAAGGCUGAAGCAAGCAAGUUGAAGAAGCAAAAGGCAAAAUCAAGGGAAGCUAAAUUGAUAAAUGAUGUCAGGGCUAGGGUGUUGGAUCCGCAGCAGGUGGUAAUAUUUUGAAAGAGAGUAUGAAGUUAUGAUUUUUUGCAUUUCAUUCAUUUAUUUUGUUAUUUUAAUAGGUUGUUGGUUUGUAUGUGUAUAUUUAGGCGGAUGAUAAUCAUCCACUUGGAGUUGUUGUGAUAGAGAAGAAGAGGGUAGUAGAUACCCAAUCACAUUUUUGUUCCAAGGUGUGUUUUGAAGACAUUGAUUUGUUUUAUGAUAGUGGGAAAUUUUUGUUCCAAUGCGCUGGUAUCACAGUUUGUGUUUACUAUUGUGAUGAACAACCUGCGAAUUUCAUGUUCCGCGUGGAUUCAUUUAGCAAGGUUGUUGAUGGACUAGAUCCUACAAGGAAGACGACAGUUGAAGAAAUGGGGUUUGGUUCACUUUUGAACCUGAAGGUGAAUCGAUUAGACAGGAAGUUCUGCUACUGGUUACAUAUUAGGGUGGAUCCUGUCAGCAGUGUGAUGUGAUUUGGGGAUGGUAUGGAGUUGCCUUUAAGUCCCAUGCAGUGGAAUUGUGUGCUAGGAAUACCGUACAUACGCGAGCCUGUGCCGCUGACUUGUGAAAAGCUGGACUUAAACAUGAACAAAAUAGUUAAGCUGAUUGGGAAGUGCUUUGGAGUUUUGGAUGCACAGGGAAGGACGCAUAUCUCAGUUGGGCGGGCCGUAGUUGCGAUACAGUUAGUUUUGGAAGAAAAGGGGUUAUCAGGCGGGCCCUUAGUUGAUGAUGAUGAUGUGUUGUAUUUAAGGACUGCAUUUUUUGUUGUUUUGUUGGGUCAGGUAUUAUGUCCUUCAACCGACGGCGGUAGUUUGUCGACCUCUUUGGUGCUGGGCGUUGCGAUAGCUCAUGAGGCGGAGCUAUACAAUUGGGCAGAGUUUAGCCAUGAUUGGCUGAUGGUAUAUUAGACAAAAGUUUAGCAGAAGUUUGGGAGGUAUGGCUUUGUUGUUGGUUGUGGUGGGUGUACGCUGUUUGUACAUCUAUUUUACGUUGGACAUUUGAUUUUGACUCCCAAUUUAUGGGGUGAGAUGCCGAGGAUUGAUGUAUGGACGCAGGAGAGAGUGAUCGGUGUUAUUGAAAAAGACAAGAGGAAUUCUGGUGACUAUAGGAAGUUGAAGGUAAGCUUAAGCUUGUCAUUUAGUCUGUAAUUCUGUAUUUAUUUAUGUAUUUUUUUGUUGGUUGUGUAUUGAUAUUUAUGUGUACAUACAGUGCAUUGAUGUUACAUACGGUGAGCGGCAUCCUCGCCUUGCGAAGGAUAGGAGAUUGUCGCAGGAGUUGGCUAGAUGCUCAAUGGAGGAUCUGAUUGUUAGAAAGGUAUGCUCAAUAGAUAUAUUUCAAUUUUGCAUGUCUUUUGAUCCUGGUUGAGCUUGUGCAGGUAGUGAAAGACUUAUCUCCUCAUUUGGAAUCAAUCGAGCGCUGCAUGGAGACAUUGUCCAGGAAAAGGGUGAAAAGUGGCAGUAGUAGGGGAAGUCAGCCUUUGAAGGGACUGCGAGCAGUUGCAGAGGCUGCAUUGAAGGAGGUUGAUGCAGAUGCAGCAGCUCGGAAGAAAAGUGUUCAAUGGGAUGACAUAGGGGGUAAUAAGAUUGUGGAAGGUAAUCCUAUGAUGAAGGAUUAUGACAAUUUAUCCUCCAUAAAUGAGGUGCUUCUGAGCAUAAAUGCUAAAGCUGACCUGCGUAAGGAGAAUGCUGGAGAGAAUGCAGGAGGGGGAGAGAAUGCAGGUGGAGGAGAGAAUGCAAGUUUGUUAGGGAAUAAAGAUCUAGUAGAUAGGGAUGGAGAGAUUUGAACCGGGGGGGGGGGG